GCACAUAAUACGAUUAGACAUAAUACAUCUAAAAUUUAUAUACACUCAUAAAACUUGUAAUUAAAUUUUUUUUUUUUUUAUAGAGACAAACUAUUAAACAGCAUAAAGACUUUUUAGAUAACGAAUAUAAAGAGGUGAUUUUUUAUUUUAUUUUUUUUUUUAUUUCUAUAUUAAUGCACUGAUGUUAUCAUUUGUGUUACAUAUAUAUAAUUACACAUAUUAAAAAUAUAUAGUUGAUAUAUUUUAUAUACAAAUCAUUUUACCUUAGUGGUCAGGCGUUCAACAAAAGACUGUUUCUGAAUUUAAAAAAAACAUAGGCGCACAUGUUUCUGAGUUAAAUGAAAAAGAAUACUUAAUAUUAUCCAAAAAAAUUUGUGAAGAUUUAAAAGAAAAAAAUUUAGAAGAAGUUAACAUAAACUUUAUACUAUACUUACUUGUAACAAAACAUGAAAUAAGUAUUGGAAGCGGUAUAUUGGAAUAUUUAAAAGACUGUUAUGCAUCUAUAAACGCAGAUCAAUCAUUAAAUAAAACAAUAGAGAAAAUAAAUGAAGCAAAUAAAAACAUUGAGGAUUUAGGAGGAAAAACAGGGAUGUGGACUGAAGAUGAUAAUAACUAUUUUAUUAGCGUAUAUGAAAAUAAUUCUAAGCUAGGAGACAACGUACUUUUGAAAUGGAAAAUAUUUUAUGUUUUUAUUUCUUAUAUUUAUAAAAAUAUAAA
Molecule: long non-coding RNA, 717 nt
Filed under: Piliocolobus tephrosceles (Ugandan red Colobus)
Lineage: Eukaryota; Metazoa; Chordata; Mammalia; Primates; Cercopithecidae
Description: lncRNA (ENSPTEG00000008199.1)
Source: RNAcentral